AUGAACGCUGGCGGCGUGCCUAAUACAUGCAAGUCGAGCGAACAGACGAGGAGCUUGCUCCUUUGACGUUAGCGGCGGACGGGUGAGUAACACGUGGGUAACCUACCUAUAAGACUGGGAUAACUUCGGGAAACCGGAGCUAAUACCGGAUAAUAUUUCGAACCGCAUGGUUCGAUAGUGAAAGAUGGCUCUGCUAUCACUUAUAGAUGGACCUGCGCCGUAUUAGCUAGUUGGUAAGGUAACGGCUUACCAAGGCAACGAUACGUAGCCGACCUGAGAGGGUGAUCGGCCACACUGGAACUGAGACACGGUCCAG
This 316-nucleotide ribosomal RNA is filed under the name uncultured Staphylococcus sp. RNAcentral's name for it is "bacterial SSU rRNA". It matches the Rfam family "Bacterial small subunit ribosomal RNA", at positions 29 to 334 of the family's 1533-position model. Lineage: Bacteria; Bacillati; Bacillota; Bacilli; Caryophanales; Staphylococcaceae. The record is from RNAcentral.